Caenorhabditis elegans is the source of this 150-nucleotide non-coding RNA. The record is from Ensembl. Lineage: Eukaryota; Metazoa; Nematoda; Chromadorea; Rhabditida; Rhabditidae.
GGCAAGCCACGUGGCAAGCAUUUUCACUUGAUUUGCGUAGUCGGCCGAGAAGAAUUGCACUGAAAAUUAAAUAGAACUAGCAGGUUUAUGCGGCCGACAUCUUGCGGGUAUUAGACCGGCUAGCUGCGGCCGACACUGCACGGGCCAAAA